UUGAACGCUGGCGGCAGGCCUAACACAUGCAAGUCGAGCGGUAGCACAGAGAGCUUGCUCUCGGGUGACGAGCGGCGGACGGGUGAGUAAUGUCUGGGAAACUGCCUGAUGGAGGGGGAUAACUACUGGAAACGGUAGCUAAUACCGCAUAAUGUCGCAAGACCAAAGUGGGGGACCUUCGGGCCUCAUGCCAUCAGAUGUGCCCAGAUGGGAUUAGCUAGUAGGUGGGGUAACGGCUCACCUAGGCGACGAUCCCUAGCUGGUCUGAGAGGAUGACCAGCCACACUGGAACUGAGACACGGUCCAGACUCCUACGGGAGGCAGCAGUGGGGAAUAUUGCACAAUGGGCGCAAGCCUGAUGCAGCCAUGCCGCGUGUGUGAAGAAGGCCUUCGGGUUGUAAAGCACUUUCAGCGGGGAGGAAGGCGAUAAGGUUAAUAACCUUGUCGAUUGACGUUACCCGCAGAAGAAGCACCGGCUAACUCCGUGCCAGCAGCCGCGGUAAUACGGAGGGUGCAAGCGUUAAUCGGAAUUACUGGGCGUAAAGCGCACGCAGGCGGUCUGUCAAGUCGGAUGUGAAAUCCCCGGGCUCAACCUGGGAACUGCAUUCGAAACUGGCAGGCUAGAGUCUUGUAGAGGGGGGUAGAAUUCCAGGUGUAGCGGUGAAAUGCGUAGAGAUCUGGAGGAAUACCGGUGGCGAAGGCGGCCCCCUGGACAAAGACUGACGCUCAGGUGCGAAAGCGUGGGGAGCAAACAGGAUUAGAUACCCUGGUAGUCCACGCCGUAAACGAUGUCGAUUUGGAGGUUGUGCCCUUGAGGCGUGGCUUCCGGAGCUAACGCGUUAAAUCGACCGCCUGGGGAGUACGGCCGCAAGGUUAAAACUCAAAUGAAUUGACGGGGGCCCGCACAAGCGGUGGAGCAUGUGGUUUAAUUCGAUGCAACGCGAAGAACCUUACCUGGUCUUGACAUCCACAGAACUUUCCAGAGAUGGAUUGGUGCCUUCGGGAACUGUGAGACAGGUGCUGCAUGGCUGUCGUCAGCUCGUGUUGUGAAAUGUUGGGUUAAGUCCCGCAACGAGCGCAACCCUUAUCCUUUGUUGCCAGCGGUUCGGCCGGGAACUCAAAGGAGACUGCCAGUGAUAAACUGGAGGAAGGUGGGGAUGACGUCAAGUCAUCAUGGCCCUUACGACCAGGGCUACACACGUGCUACAAUGGCAUAUACAAAGAGAAGCGACCUCGCGAGAGCAAGCGGACCUCAUAAAGUAUGUCGUAGUCCGGAUUGGAGUCUGCAACUCGACUCCAUGAAGUCGGAAUCGCUAGUAAUCGUAGAUCAGAAUGCCACGGUGAAUACGUUCCCGGGCCUUGUACACACCGCCCGUCACACCAUGGGAGUGGGUUGCAAAAGAAGUAGGUAGCUUAACCUUCGGGAGGGCGCUUACCACUUUG
Molecule: ribosomal RNA, 1443 nt
Filed under: Klebsiella pneumoniae
Lineage: Bacteria; Pseudomonadati; Pseudomonadota; Gammaproteobacteria; Enterobacterales; Enterobacteriaceae
Description: bacterial SSU rRNA
Rfam family: Bacterial small subunit ribosomal RNA
Source: RNAcentral